CCUACGGGUGGCAGCAGUGGGGAAUAUUGGACAAUGGGCGAAAGCCUGAUCCAGCCAUGCCGCGUGUGUGAAGAAGGCCUUCGGGUUGUAAAGCACUUUCAGUGGGGAAGAAAGCCUUGGGGCUAAUACCCUCGAGGAAGGACAUCACCCACAGAAGAAGCACCGGCUAACUCCGUGCCAGCAGCCGCGGUAAUACGGAGGGUGCGAGCGUUAAUCGGAAUUACUGGGCGUAAAGCGCGCGUAGGCGGUCUGAUAAGCAGGUUGUGAAAGCCCCGGGCUCAACCUGGGAACGGCAUCCGGAACUGUCAGGCUAGAGUGCAGGAGAGGAAGGUAGAAUUCCCGGUGUAGCGGUGAAAUGCGUAGAGAUCGGGAGGAAUACCAGUGGCGAAGGCGGCCUUCUGGACUGACACUGACGCUGAGGUGCGAAAGCGUGGGUAGCAAACAGGAUUAGAUACCCCUGUAGUC
Molecule: ribosomal RNA, 465 nt
Filed under: Vreelandella stevensii
Lineage: Bacteria; Pseudomonadati; Pseudomonadota; Gammaproteobacteria; Oceanospirillales; Halomonadaceae
Description: partial 16S ribosomal RNA
Rfam family: Bacterial small subunit ribosomal RNA
Source: RNAcentral